CGCCUGCCCAGUGAACAAUUAAACGGCCGCGGUAUCCUAACCGUGCAAAGGUAGCAUAAUCAUUUGUCUACUAAUUAUAGACCUGUAUGAAAGGCAAAAUGAGGGCCCAACUGUCUCUUAUAAUAAAUCAAUUAAACUGAUCCCCUAGUAAAAAAGCUAGGAUUACACCAUAAGACCAGAAGACCCUGUGAAGCUUAAACUAAACUAUUAAACCAAUUAAUAACUACUUUCGGUUGGGGCGACCUUGGAAAAAAAAAGAACUUCCAAGACCCAGUACAACUGAUAAUCGAACCAAGUUACUCCAGGGAUAACAGCGCAAUCCUCUUCAAGAGCCCAUAUCAAAAAGAGGGUUUACGACCUCGAUGUUGGAUCAGGACAUCCCAAUGGUGCAGCCGCUAUUAAAGGUUCGUUUGUUCAACGAUUAACAGUCCUACGUGAUCUGA
RNAcentral lists this ribosomal RNA (443 nucleotides) under Senticolis triaspis. Its description in RNAcentral is "partial 16S ribosomal RNA". It matches the Rfam family "Bacterial large subunit ribosomal RNA", at positions 1856 to 2608 of the family's 2925-position model. The record is from RNAcentral. Lineage: Eukaryota; Metazoa; Chordata; Lepidosauria; Squamata; Colubridae.